CCGAAAACAACCAUGGGCAGAUGGGAAAAGAGAACCUGACCAGCUAAUGGAGGGUCAAGUGCAGGAAGUUCCCCUGAGAAGACUCGCAGCUUCGUUUUGCCUCAGAACUGCCAGCCAGGCUCCACGCCCUGACACACGGAUUGGGGACAAAGGUGAGCCUGGCUCCUCGCCAAGCCACCAGCACCAGGCAGCCCCUGGGACGAGUUCUUCCGACCCCCACCCUCAGCAUCUUUGGGCCGCUGCGCUGUGAAAAUCAAAAAAAGAGACUGG
RNAcentral lists this long non-coding RNA (270 nucleotides) under Mustela putorius furo (domestic ferret). RNAcentral's name for it is "lncRNA (ENSMPUG00000029342.1)". The record is from RNAcentral. Lineage: Eukaryota; Metazoa; Chordata; Mammalia; Carnivora; Mustelidae.